AACAAUAAUGACAACUGAAAUUGUAAAUUCUUAUCAUCAAACUGCGGUACCUGUGUGUAUUCGUCUGUGUUGCAGAUCAGCUGAAGCUAAAAAAGAAGAAAAGAAAAAAAAAAGAGCCCAGUUUGCAGACACCUUCCUCGAGCGCAGCGCUCCGAGAUCUAUCCGUUGCGCGUACGAGAGCACGCGAGAAGCAGAAGCUGAAACAACACAUCACCGAGGGCUGAGCGCAAUAAAAAGAAAGAAAAGAAAGAAAAAGUGCUGGUGGAACAAGCGGAGACAACCGCAGAUAUAUGCGGGAGGAAAGGAGGAGGAUCGAUUUAUCACGUCUCUCGCAUUUUGUGCCGUGUCCACCGGCGCAUGGUUUUUGAGGAGCUAUGAGGUCUCUGAACCACAAUGACAAUAUCACCGCCGGUCACCUCACACGGCUAAGGAGGACUUCAUCUAGGAUUUCACCCGAUUGACGGCGGCAAAGAGGCAGCUUUUUCAUACCUGACGGAGCUUUUGAUGAGCUCUGCACUGUUAAGACUUGUGAUUAACUGACUGAAACGAUUAUUUAGC
Molecule: long non-coding RNA, 558 nt
Organism: Astatotilapia calliptera (eastern happy)
Lineage: Eukaryota; Metazoa; Chordata; Actinopteri; Cichliformes; Cichlidae
Source: Ensembl